ACACUGAAAUGUGUUGUAUAACAGAGCGUGGCAUUGCAUUUAUAUUUAUAUUAAAACAUAUACGGGUUUAUUAUGUAUAGGCUGAGGUGUUUCUCUAAAAGGCAUUGUGAAUAUAAUCUCCAUGUCAAUCUGUCCAUCUGAUCCGCUUGGUUUUUAUUUCCUCUUUGUUUUCUUCGACUGAUUGAUUUUAAUUUCGGAAACGGAAGGUUGCUGUUUUUAGCUGCGUCUGUAAAACCGAAAGGUCGCAUGAGGAUACGGUGACGCGAGCACAUGGACAAGGAAAACAUUAACCACCGGAGUGUAAAUGAGAUCAAGAUGGAUUUUGAUAUCUGCUUUCUGUUUGCAGCCGGCAAACCGCAAGAUUUCCGAGCCACUGAGAGCGAAGUCCAGGACACGAGGAGCAACGCUAAAUGAGAUUUCCUGUAGCGAAGCGCUGGUUGUGGCUAAAGGCAUUAAAGAAGAUCAAAUCUUAUAAACCUCGGCUAGUAGGAUUUGAUGUGCAUUACUGACAAAUACACACAGGCCCGGAUUGGCCAAAGGGAGGGCCGGGAGAAUUCCUGGUGGGCCGGUCUGUUUUUUGGCCACGAGGGCUGGUGUUUUCAUGCCACCUGGUUGAAGGUUGCUGUCCAUAGCUGCCAGCACUCACGUGUAAAUUGGGGAUAGGAGGGAUGGGAGAUAUCCCCACCGCUUUAUGCCGAAGUUGAUGUCCCGAGUCCUGUCCACUUAUUGGAAUAAUUGUUGCAUUAGGGUCCAUUAACGCAUCUAAAACACACGAAAAAUGCAGGACGCGCUGUUUUCUUCUGCUUUUCAAAGUGUUCGCCUGUGAACUCGAGUAUUGUUUCAGACGCGUUUAUAUUUGGGUGCGCUUGCAUCGCGUCGAUUUAACUCUUUCCCCGCCAGGGUUUUUAAAAAAAAUUGCCAGCCAGCGCCAGCAUUUUUCAUGAUUUUCACAAAAGUUUAAUGCCUUCCAGAAAAUGUUCUUCUUUAAAUAUAUAAACAAACAAUAUAUUGUCACGGUUAAAUCCGUGUCAUGUUUUGUUUCUGUUCUGAUCGUUGUCACCUGGACAUUCAUUGAUUAAUCACCUGAUUCAUUCCACCUGUUUGUCAUUAGUCUGUGUAUUUAUACCUGUGUUUGUGCAAUACUGACUGCCGGUUCAUUGUC
Long non-coding RNA from Misgurnus anguillicaudatus (oriental weatherfish), 1162 nucleotides. RefSeq lists it as uncharacterized. NCBI's taxonomy places the organism in Eukaryota, Metazoa, Chordata, Actinopteri, Cypriniformes, Cobitidae. The record is from RefSeq and is a predicted model, not a curated record.